AUGCGGCGCUUGGCGCUGAGCGCAGUAGCUCGACGGCGCCCCGGCGUGGGCCGGCGACGGGGUGUGGCGGCGAUGCAACGGGCAGCACGGAGGUGGUGCGGGCUGGAGGCUGGUGGUGGCGGCGGUUGCAUCCGGCGGCGCGCCCAGAUCAUCCUGCCGAGCCGCGGGUCGCGGGCGACCUGGGUCGCGGUCGGCUUCUCCUGCCAUGGCUCGUGGGCAGGGGGGCGGCGCAAUAGCUGGUGGAUGCGUGCGCCGUUGCCCGGUCGGGCCCUUGCGGCUGGUCGGCGUCGUACGGCACGGGAGAUCCCUCCGGUGGUCAUCCAUGGGCGUGGCGGCGAGAGCUCUGCUUCCUCUGCUCCGGCCACGGGCCGCUGCCGUGGUCUCGCGCGGGGCCGGACCUAUGGCAGGGUGGGACAAAACCGGUGGUUUCGAGGCAGGGAGCUGGUUGGAAGGACGAGAGCUCCGUUGCCGAGCUGCCCGUCGUCGGCCCAAGUGGUUGCCGGUCGUGGCCGUUGGCCAUUCCUCCCCCUCCCCCCUUCCCCAUCCUCAUGUGUUCUCGGUUCCGGCUUUGCUCGAGGCGGAGGUGGUUGGCCGGCGGUCUCGGAGGCAGUUGGGGUGCGGAUUUGCUCAAAGUCUCGGCCUUGGGUGAUCAUCUGGGCGGUCUGGAGGCAGAGCGGCGGCUCUGGAGACGGGAGGCGCGUUGGUCGUGGGCUGACCGCGCGGCUCGGGUGCGGGCGGGCAGCCACGGUCGCUUGGGCGGCAUGGCUGCGGGUGGUUGGCGGAGCGGGGUUGCGACGGAGAGGUUGGAGCACCGGGGUUCACCACUUGACUAGUCCCGGAACUGGCCGACGGAGGCGGCGUCCGCGGACGUCGUUCCCCUCCCUGCAGGCUUCGCCAUGGUGCUCCCACCUCCUACGCGUCACUCCGGGUGAAAACUUGAUCUUCUGGAUCAGACGAUGA
This 960-nucleotide ribosomal RNA is filed under the name Triticum aestivum (bread wheat). RNAcentral's name for it is "partial small subunit ribosomal RNA". Lineage: Eukaryota; Viridiplantae; Streptophyta; Magnoliopsida; Poales; Poaceae. The record is from RNAcentral.